GGGGUCAUUAUCUUACAUGUUUUUUUUCCUCAGCAGUUCUGUUUUCGGUUUACAACUUUAUACAAAUUUACUUGUCUGCCAACACAAUGCCCCGAGGGUCGAGUGCGGGAUUUGACCGAUAUAUUACCAUCUUCUUUCCGGAGAGCAGACUAACAAAGUCGAAUAUGCAUUCAAGGCUAUCAACCAAGGUGGCCUUACCAUAGUAGCUAUCAGAGGACAAGACUGCAGUUGUCAUCACACAGAAUUCCAGACAAGCUUGUUGAUGCCAUCCACAGUCCACUUAUUCAGAAUCACAGAAAACAUUGGCUGUGUCAUUUUGGAAUGACGGCUGACAGCAAGUCCAGAGGGCUCGUUACGAGGCAGCCAACUGCAAGUACGGUUAUGAGAUCCCAGUGGAUAUGCUGUGUAAGAGGAUGGCUUACAUCUCUCAGGUGUACACACAGAAUGCUGAGAUGAGACCUCUUGGUUUCUGUAAGUGUUACACAAUUGUCAAAAAAACACCAGUGGAGCUGAGAAGUUUCAAGAUAUACAGUACAUGUCAGAAGUUUGGACACACCCACUCAUUCCAGGGUUUUUCUUUAUUUUUACUAUUUUCUACAUUGUAGAAUAAUAGCGAAGACAUCAAAACUAUAUGGAAUCAUGUAGUAAUUGUUAAACAAAUCAAAAUAUAUUUUGGAUUCUUCAAAGUAGUCACCUUUUGCCUUGAUGACAGCUCUGCACACUCUUGGCAUUCUCUCAACCAGCUUCACCUGGAAUGCUUUAACAACAGUCUUAAAGGAGUCCUCACAUAUCCUGAGCACUUGUUGGCUGCUUUUCCUUAAUUCUGGGGACCGACUCAUCCCAAACCAUCUCAAUUGGGUUGAGGUCAGAUGAUUGUGGAGGACAGUUCAUCUGAUGCAGCACGCCAUCACGCUCCUUGGUCAUAUAACCCUUACACAACCUGAAGGUGUGUUGGGUCAUUGUACUGUUGAGAAAUAAAUUAUUGUUCUACUAAGUGCAAACCAGAUGGGAUGGCGUUUUGCUGCAGAGUUCUGUGCUAUACAUGCUGGUUGUGUGCCUUGAAUUCUAAAUAAAUCACUGACAGUGUCACCAACAAAGCACCAUCACACCUCCUCCUCCAUGCUUCAUGGUGGGAACUACAUAUGCGGAGAUCAUCCAUAUACCUAAUCUAAAUCUCACAAAGGCACAGCAGAUGAAACCAAAAAUCUCACAUUUGGACAGAUUUCCACCGGUCUAAUGUCCGUUGCUCGUGUUUCUUGGCAAGUCUCUUUUUAUUGGUGUCGGUGAACUCGGUGAAGCAUUUAUUUGGGCUGCAAUUUCUGAGGCUGGUAACUAAUGAACUUUUCCUCUGCAGCAGAGGUAACUCUGGGUCUUCCUUUCCUGUGGUGGUCCUCAUGAGAGACAGUUUCAUCAUAGCGCUUGAUGGUUUUUGCGACUGCGCUUGAAGGACCUUUCAAAGUUCUUGAAAUGUUCCUUAUUGACUGACCUUCAUGUCUUAAAGUAAUGAUGGACUGUCGUUCAGGCAAAGGGUGGCUACUUUGAAAAAAGUAAAAUAUAAAAUAUAUUUUGAUUUAUUUAAACACUUAUUUUUGUUUACUACAUGAUUCCAUUUGUGUUAUUUCAUAGUUUUGAUUUAUUCACUAUUUUUUCAAUAAUGUAGAAAAUAGUAGAAAUAAAGUAAAACCCUUCAAUGAGUAGGUGUGUCCAAACUUUUGACUGGUACUGUAUAUAUUUAAGAAAAGUUGUGUGUUACGGGGAAGACAUCCUCCUCCCUUCCUGCAGGCUCAUUACCCUCCAGCAUGACAAUGCUACCAGCCAUACUGCUCAUUCUGUGCUUGAUUUCCUGCAAGACGGUCUGUGUUCUACCAUGGCCAGCGCAGAGGCCGGAUCUCAAUCCCAUUGAGCACGUCUUGGACCUGUUGGAUCGGAGGGAUCCUGACAGAGACUGAAAUUGAUGUCCACCUUGUGUCCCAGUCAGAGCGAGAUGGAGUGUUUCCUUGUGUUCCAAACUAGAGGGGAGACUACCCUAGAGAAAUGAGCACUACCACAGAUCUUCAGAACAAAAGCUCUGACUUGCUGUACAUUUACGCUGUUCAGUUCAUGUUUUUGAGAUUAUUUUCCCAUAUAGAUAUGGUGCAUAUAUCCAAAGCCUAAUGCUGACUAUAGAAAUCUCUGAAACUCCUCUGUUACUUACAUACACUCCAGAGUGGCGCAGCUGUCUAAGGCACUGCAUCUCAGUGCUAGAGGCUUCACUCCAGACCCUGGUUCAAUACAAUUGGCUCAGCGUCGGGUUUGGCCAGGGCAGGCCGUCAUUGUAAAUAAGAAUUUGUUCUUAUCUGACUUGCCUAGUUAAAUAAAGGUUCAAUUAACCUUACUAACUGACAUAAGUGGUUUCAGCUCUUCAGGAAUAAAUUGUGGGCCACUAGUAUUAAGCAUGAGAGAUACUCACCAGCUCAAUACAUUAGUGAUGCAACAGCACAAGAAUAUUAUAAUUAAUUGAUUGCUACUAGCUCCUAUCAGUACAGCAAAAAUGUCAAACAAGUACACAAAUAAUAAAUCAAAUGUCAGAACGAGUCCAGUUAACCCAAAUAACACUUUCAGUAAUCCAAAUGCAAUCUAUUCGUAUGUACUGUUGAAGUCGGAAGUUAACAUACACCUUAAACUGAGUUUAAAUGCAUUUGGUUUUCACAGUUCCUGACAUUUAAUCAGAGUAAAAAUGAUCUUAAGUCAGUUAGGAUCACCACUUUAUUUUAAGAAUGUGAAAUGUUAGAAUAAUAGUUGAGAGUGAUUUAUUUCAGCUUUUAUUUCUUUCAUCACAUUCCCAGUGGGUCAGAAGUUUAUAUACACUCAAUUAGUAUUUGGUAACAUUGCCUUUAAAUUGUUUAACUUGGGUCAAACAUUUCGUGUAAACUUCCACAAGCUUCCCACAAUAAGUUGGGUGAAUUUUGGCCCAUUCCUCCUGACAGAGCUGGUGUAACUGAGUCAGUUUUCUAGGCCUCCUUGCCCGCACAAGCUUUUUCAGUUCUGCCCACAAAUUUUCUAUAGGAUUGAGGUCAGGGCUUUGUGAUGGCCACUCCAAUACCUUGACUUUGUUGGCCUUAAGCCAUUUUGCCACAACUUUGGAAGUAUGCUUGGGGUAAUUGUCCAUUUGGAAGACCCAUUUGCAACCAAGCUUCAACUUCCUGACUGAUGUCUUGAGAUGUUUCUUCAAUAUAUCCACAUAAUUUUCCUACCUCAUAAUGCCAUCUAUUUUGUGAAGUGC
Oncorhynchus masou masou (cherry salmon) is the source of this 3262-nucleotide long non-coding RNA. RefSeq lists it as uncharacterized. NCBI's taxonomy places the organism in Eukaryota, Metazoa, Chordata, Actinopteri, Salmoniformes, Salmonidae. The transcript has 5 exons. The record is from RefSeq and is a predicted model, not a curated record.